UCCGGAAUCGGGGCCCCCCAGCUUCUGCGGAGGGUGCAUCAGGGUGUAGGGAGGGGUGUGGGAGUGGGCGAAGCUACUGGUUGGUGCCUGGAAUCAGUGCGUUGCCCCUUUAAUUGUGUCCCCGGCCCUCGGGCGUUUCUGUCCAACGCCCACGUCAGCAAAUACCUUUUGUUUCUCUCACGUUGGGGCUACUAGUUUAAGGGCGGCAGGAAACGGGAUUCCUAGGGGCAAUACCCCAGCUCAGCCGCCGGGACUCCCCCCAGUCCAUAACCCGCGGUACCCGGAAGUACAUGAUAAUCAAAAUUGACAGAUCUGGACACCCCUGUUUUGAAUCUAUUUCGCUUAACUAGUUUUUCAGGAGCAGUCUCAUUAAUUACAGGAUGGAGAUUUCCUCUCAUCAGUCUCACCUGUUGCAACAGCUGAAUGAACAGCGAAGGCAAGAUGUGUUUUGUGACUGCAGUAUUCUAGUUGAAGGAAAGGUCUUCAAAGCACAUAGAAAUGUGCUAUUUGCAAGUAGUGGCUACUUUAAAAUGCUUCUUUCUCAGAGCUCAAAGGAGACAAGUCAACCAACCACAGCUACAUUUCAGGCAUUCUCACCUGACACUUUUACUGUUAUUCUGGACUUUGUAUAUUCAGGCAAACUUUCUCUCACGGGUCAAAAUGUCAUAGAAGUGAUGUCAGCUGCUAGUUUCCUUCAGAUGACUGAUGUCAUUAGUGUAUGUAAGACAUUCAUUAAGUCCUCCCUUGAUAUAAGUGAGAAAGAGAAGGAUCGAUAUUUCAGUCUCUCAGAUAAAGAUGCCAAUUCCAAUGGUGUAGCUGAACGUUCUUCUUCGUAUAAUGCUGGGUGGCGUGGAGAAAGCAGCCCUCCCCAAUCUCAUGUAAGUCCAGAUCAAGGAAAAUGUGCUGUGAGUGGGAAAUCUUGGAGUAAUUACAACUACUAUCCAGCGUCCCAACGGAACACUCAACAACCGUCAGCCAAACAUGAACAAAGACAAGAUUCUGUUAAAAAGUCCAGGCAUUUGGGGUUACCACAGUCUACAGAUGUUCCUCAUUACAAGUCAAGCAAACUUGAAGAGCGAACUUCUGAGCCUCCUAAUCACACGCCUCCAUCUGAAGAAAAGGUACAAAAUGAUACUGGAAUUGAUUCCCCUCGUGUGGGCCAUAAGUAUGGCAAAGGAUCUGAUGUUACACCCAGAAGUCUAUCAGGUUCCCAACAAGAACAAGAAUCUUCUCGAUCUACGUCCAAAUCGCCUAAAACUGAUGAACCUUAUUCCAAUAUGCCUUUAAUUUUAGGUGUUAUGGGCAGCUGGAAUGAAGAUGAACUGCCUAGAAUGAGAUUCAAAUGCCCAUUCUGCACACAUGUGGUAAAACGGAAAGCAGACCUAAAGCGCCAUCUCCGUUGCCAUACGGGAGAACGACCGUACCCUUGUGAAGCCUGUGGGAAAAGAUUCAGCAGGCUAGACCAUCUAAGUAGCCAUUUUCGAACAAUUCAUCAGGCAUGCAAGCUAAUCUGCCGAAAAUGCAAGCGUCACGUGACUGAUCUAACUGGACAAGUGGUACAGGAGGGAACAAGGCGCUACAGACUGUGCAAUGAGUGCCUUGCUGAAGCUGGCAUAGACAGCAUUCCCAUUGAUUUGGAAGCUGAACAACCACUUGCAUCCCCUACAGAUGGAGAUAAGAAGCCAAAAUGGCAACUGAGUGAAGGACAAAAAAAAUCUUAUGUGGAGAUUGUAGAGGAUGGAUCUGCUGAUCUGGUCAUACAACAGGUUGAUGAUAGUGAAGAUGAGGAAGAAGAAAAGGAAAUAAAGCCCAACAUUAGGUAGUUGUGAAACAACUGACCUGGCAUGUCUUAUAUUUGAAUUCUUAUAUUUCUCUCUUCCCCUGACAAGAGUCUGGUUAACACAUCUAUCAUAUUGGCUUUUUUUAAUGACCUGCUCUAAUUUGCAUGCAUUUGUGGACAGACCAUUAAGUUCACAUUCUGAACUAUGUUGCUCUGGGGUACCAGUAUGUUGCUGCACUGGAAAAGAGGACCUAGCUUGAGUUGGCAUGACGGAUGAACAACUGAUCUCUGAACUAUAAUAUAGUAAUACUUUUUAUAUAUUAGAAGAUCAACUUGAGAAAUUUUUCAGUGAUAAACAUUUAAGAUAAAUUAACUAUAGCCAAACAUGAAACUUUUAUUAUAAGACUUUCCAGAUGCUUUUUUUAAAAAAUAGAUAAGCUAUCACAUAUUGCAUAUUCCUGGGGAAAAAAGGACACUGAUUUAAUUUGGAGUGAAGAUUACAGUAGUAGACAUUUUGUUCCAAUCACCAACUUCUGAACUCUGUCACAACUGUCAAUGGAAGAGUGUUAGCUGAUGAGCUUGGAUCCUUACAGAAACAAUGUGGACGUAAAUUCUCCAUUUAAAUGCAGUUCUGCCUGGAGGCAGCAAAAUGAACUAAAUAACUUCUUGAAUUCACUUUGUGUUCUACCACAUUACAGUUUCCUGCCCUACAUCAUUUAAUUGUUUAUGUAAGCAAAUGAACGUAUAACAAAGAGGAUGGCUUUUGGAAUAGCAAGUAACAUGCUUGAUAUACUCAACUUGUCUUCCAAGUAUGGCUAAGUUAGCUCUAAAGUUUUCAGGUCAAAACUUAAAUAUAGUAUUUAGCAACAUUAGCUUUGAACAUCAUCACUUAACCUGAUCUUUUCUUUUCCUCAUCUGUAAAAUGGAGGUAGUGUAAUACAGUGGUAAGAGCACAGGAUUUCGAGUCAGAGGACCUCAGUUUAAAUUUGUCAUUGCCACUUACUACCUGCAUGACCUUGGUCAAGUCAUAUCACGUCUCUAGGCCUCAGUUUCCUCAUCUGUCAAAUAAAAGGGUUGGACUAUAUGACCUCUAAGGCUCCCUCCAGCUCUAAAUCUAUGACCUUUUAAUCAAAUAUGGGGAUGGCUUUAAUAUAAACCAAUUAGCGCUUAAUGAUUCAGUUCCACAAAUAUUUAUUAUCUAUUACGUACAAGGCACCAAUAGCUAUUGCCCUCAAGGAAGUUACAUUGUUUUGUUUUAGGUUUUUUUUUUUUGGUGAGGCAAUGAGGGUUAAGUGACUUGCCCAGGGUCACACAGCUAGUAAGUGUCAAGUGUCUGAGGCUGGAUUUGAACUCAGGUUGUCCUGACUCCAGGGCCAGUGCUCUACCUACUGUGCCACCUAGCUGCCCCAAGGAAGUUACAUUGUAUUGACAACUUAGGAGUUAUCAGAUGGUUGUUAGUUCAGUAUUAAAUAUAUUAAAACGUUAUUUUUAUAAGCCAUAGGGUCUGAAGAAUAUCUCUUCCUCUUAUAUUUUCAGCUUUUGCAUUUUUAAUUUUUAAAACUGACUGUAAAACAUUAAGAAACACUAUAUGAAAAAGCUUUAAUUGGCAUAUUGUGUAACACCAUCUCCAGAGCUUUCUUGAUGUUCAACUAUAUCUGAAACCUCAAAUUUUAAGCAAAAAAUUAUAUAUGACAUUUUGUUAGGAUUUACUAGUAUUCGUAUUUAGCCUUUCUACUGCAUUUUAUAUUUGAAAAGUGCUAUAAGAAUCAUUAUCCUUCUUCAUACACCUACAAAAUAGGGCAGUUAUUUCAUUUUAAAGAUAAGAACUGAGGCACAAGACACUGAAGUAACCUACAAAUAAGCUGGUCAGUGGCAGAAAUGGAAACUACAACCAUCAGAUUCUUGGAAUUCUAGAGUAUUAUGUACUACUUAGCUCAUUAAACUGUAGUGUUUAUUACUCUGGUUUUGUAAGGGAACUUUUACAAAGAACAUUCAUCUGUUUUAAAGCACUGUAUGGAUGUACCAUAUGCAAAAUAAAUAUUGUUCAUAUAAAGCA
RNA transcript from Dromiciops gliroides (monito del monte), 3836 nucleotides. It is a transcript of the gene named zinc finger and BTB domain containing 8A, with no coding region annotated. The transcript is spliced from 6 exons. The record is from RefSeq and is a predicted model, not a curated record. NCBI's taxonomy places the organism in Eukaryota, Metazoa, Chordata, Mammalia, Microbiotheria, Microbiotheriidae.